This 259-nucleotide ribosomal RNA is filed under the name uncultured bacterium. Its description in RNAcentral is "partial 16S ribosomal RNA". It matches the Rfam family "Bacterial small subunit ribosomal RNA", at positions 524 to 788 of the family's 1533-position model. The record is from RNAcentral.
UACGUAGGGUGCGAGCGUUAAUCGGAAUACUGGGCGUAAAGCGUGCGCAGGCGGUUUUGUAAGCCAGAUGUGAAAUCCCCGGGCUUAACCUGGGAAUGGCAUUUGGGACUGCAAGGCUUGAGUGCGGCAGAGGAGACUGGAAUUCCUGGUGUAGCAGUGAAAUGCGUAGAUAUCAGGAGGAACACCGAUGGCGAAGGCAGGUCUCUGGGCUGACACUGACGCUCAUGCACGAAGCGUGGGAGCAACAGGAUAGAACCCA